GAUAACUGAGUCGGAAGGCUGCCGUGAGAUAAAUAGAAUACGACAUAUGAAACUAACUUAUACAUAAGACAUAUGUGCCUAUAAGGCCAAAAUAACUACUCGUAUACUGAACAUAGGACGACAAGGCCAUACAAUCUUUUACGUACAUGACAUUUGUCUACAAGCCUCUAAGAAUACACAUUUAAAUCAUACUAACCAAACAAGCAACUCUAAAGCAAUGGAGCGCACCAACAUCUUCCGCUGAGCUGAUAGCCUACUUGGAGGGCUAUCGACCUAUCUAUCGGGACCUGCGGGCAUGAAACGCAGUGUCCCCAUACAAAAGGGACGUCAGUACAAAUAAUGUACCGAGUAUGUAGGGAAUGAAAAUCAAUAAAUAAUAGACAUGAGAGAAAUAUUGAGUAAAACACUCGACAUGUACGUUUGCAUAACUCUAUAAAUCGUUUUAUUUUUAAUAAUGUCAUGUAUAUGCAUAUAAAUGCCAUACCAUGCAUGGGUAUAUGUUUUCAUAAUAUCAUCAAGCCUCUGAGGGCAUCCCAUCAUAUCAUCUCGGCCACUGUGGGCAAAUCUUUAACGUAUACCAGCUGAUUAGGUAGUGGUGCGUAUAUAAUAACGUAACCUUUUCUCAUAUCCCAUAUAAAUACAAUAUAUAUAUAUAUAUAUGCGUAUAUAACGUCGUCUAGUCAUGUGCUAAUGUACAUGUAUAAGUGCAUGAAAUUCAUAAGGAAUACGUUAAUAGGAUUUUCUCAGAAUGCCAUAAAAAUCGAUAUGCCUUUCGGAUAAACAUUAUGGAAUACGUAGUUUUCUGAGACCUAUGAACAGAACAUAUAACAAUAAUUCACAUGGGGAAUCAAGAAUAUAGACACCUUAGUAUUUCUAUGAAUAGAGUCAUUUAUGAAAGUUGCGUAUUUUGCUCAUUUCAUUUGUAUUAUUUGGAUCAUGCCAAAAGGAAAGAAGGAAUAGCCUUAACAUACCUGAGCAGAUUCACCAAGAUCUGAAUAGGAAAAAUCCGUAUGAUAUUUUAGAAAAGUGUUGGUUUGACCUUGCAAAACAUUAUUUGCAAAAGCAAGUCAAACAAACACUUUCUUCCAAAAACUUAAUACAAACUUUGAAUGCUCAGUUUUUUUGGAAGACUUCCAACAAAUACCACCUACUGUUCCGAAUCCACCUCAACAUUGAACAUAAGAAUAAAACCUCUUCAUUAUGGUUCAAAGUAUAUCAUGGAUAGAAAGAAGAUGCCUCAAGAGUUUUAGGCAGAA
Molecule: long non-coding RNA, 1256 nt
Filed under: Nicotiana tabacum (common tobacco)
Lineage: Eukaryota; Viridiplantae; Streptophyta; Magnoliopsida; Solanales; Solanaceae
Description: long non-coding RNA (NTAB_LNC014719)
Source: RNAcentral